This 253-nucleotide ribosomal RNA is filed under the name uncultured bacterium. Its description in RNAcentral is "partial 16S ribosomal RNA". It matches the Rfam family "Bacterial small subunit ribosomal RNA", at positions 524 to 776 of the family's 1533-position model. The record is from RNAcentral.
GACGUAGGGGGCCAGCGUUGUUCGGAAUUACUGGGUGUAAAGGGUUCGUAGGCGGUGUGGCAAGUCGGGAGUGAAAUCUCUGGGCUCAACUCAGAGACUGCUUCCGAAACUGCUGUGCUGGAGUGUGGGAGAGGCGCGUGGAAUUGCAGGUGUAGCGGUGAAAUGCGUAGAUAUCUGCAGGAACACCCGUGGCGAAAGCGGCGCGCUGGACCACUACUGACGCUGAGGAACAAAAGCUAGGGGAGCAAACAGG